AGCUUUGCGCAGUGGCAGUAUCGUAGCCAGUGAGGUUUAUCCGAGGCGCGAUUGUUGCUAACCGGAAACUUUUCCCGAUGACUGCUAACUGAAGCGGGUAUACACUUCCUUCCUAAUCACCUGGGCUCACAAGUGA
This 136-nucleotide small nuclear RNA is filed under the name Chinchilla lanigera (long-tailed chinchilla). Its description in RNAcentral is "U4 spliceosomal RNA (ENSCLAG00000021024.1)". The stretch from base 1 to 83 matches the Rfam family "U4 spliceosomal RNA". From Rfam's summary of the family: U4 small nuclear RNA (U4 snRNA) is a component of the major U2-dependent spliceosome. The structure of U4 snRNA from yeast and human has been reported. U4 snRNA presents a k-turn RNA motif in the 5p-SL related to recognition of Snu13 protein. Lineage: Eukaryota; Metazoa; Chordata; Mammalia; Rodentia; Chinchillidae. The record is from RNAcentral.